CUAAUUUAGGCUAAACCCAAAUUCCAUCCUUACAUAGUUCUAACUCCAUCCCAACAGACCACCUCCCUGGCCCAAAUUGUCAAACCCGACCCAUUCUCCACCGAAUAUACGAACGAAUGCAUACAACCCUAAAAAUCAAAAUCCCUAAUCCAGACGCGACUGUUCAUCAUCUCCUUCACUUCAGUUGCGUUCAACUCGCCAAAUCUCAGGCGAGUGAAUUCAAAAUCACCUCACGCGCAGCUUAUCUCACCACCUCAGCAAGAUUCUAACACCCUCUGACAGAUUUUCGUCUCCCGUGUGUUUUCUCGAGAAUGAAUUCUGAAAAAUGGGGACCGUAGAUUGAUUUUGAAUCGAUCCCCUCUCUCCAUCUGUCCGAAUUCGUUUUAGAGUAGAAUAUUCUCAGAUUUUUCUGGAAGAAGAGAAUAGAAGCUUCAUAGGAGGGG
This 443-nucleotide long non-coding RNA is filed under the name Nicotiana benthamiana. RNAcentral's name for it is "long non-coding RNA (NBEN_LNC004805)". Lineage: Eukaryota; Viridiplantae; Streptophyta; Magnoliopsida; Solanales; Solanaceae. The record is from RNAcentral.